Molecule: long non-coding RNA, 8694 nt
Filed under: Nicotiana benthamiana
Lineage: Eukaryota; Viridiplantae; Streptophyta; Magnoliopsida; Solanales; Solanaceae
Description: long non-coding RNA (NBEN_LNC032443)
Source: RNAcentral
AACCCAAUACCCAAAUCCACUUCCUAACCUAAAAGGCGUAAUACAAUACACACAAUCUAUACAGAGGAAGGAGCUGGCGGCUGCUUCACAGAAAAACACACGAUACAAUAUACAGAUACACGAUAAGGCAGCCUGGCUUCUUUGGAAGAAUACACACACGCAUAUAGGAGAUAUAGAAGCUUUUGAAAUAAAAAGACCCUCCCAGCACAGAAUUUUUCAGAGGAAAAAGAUCCUACCCCCCUUUAAAACCCAUCUCCUUCACACCACCCUCUUCAUCAAACACGCCGGAAACCAGCACCCAAACGAAACCGUCUCCACCUUAGCCCUAAUCUCUCCUUCUUUAUGGGAACUUAACAAAGCCCUAGAGAGCACACUUAUAGCAGCGUAAAUAAAAAAGAUGAUCCCCACCCCAUCUACGGCGAGCUUCGCUCACACACACAUAAACCACGACGCACACAUCAUGUCGUUGCUGCCUCUUCAAACGCAUGCAGCAACAACCGAUGUCGUUACUUCCAUCAGCCAAGAAACAAUUUCCGAUUAGGAGCUACUGUCAUGGAGCUUGUCCGGUUUGUUUUUCGGCGUAGUCUGAGCUUUCCGGCGAGCGUUGAGGUCGUUGUUAGUCGUUGAUAUCCGCCGGUUCUUUCCGUGGUCGCCGGUCUGGGAUAUAUUUUGUUGAGGUCUCCGAUCUUCGAGUUUGGGGUGGAACAUCGUAGCUUGGUUUCCGUUUCCAAAACUGAAAUCCUUGUUUUCUCUGUACGCAAUAAAGGUUAGAGAUCUAUCAAUGAGGGAUUCAUUCUUUUAAUCUUCUAAUUAUUUCUUACAAUGCUUCUGUGUUUUUUUUGUUAUGUUUUUGAUCAAUUAAAAUUUCGUUACCUUUUUCUUCUUUAGUUUGUUUCUAUCUGUUUGAUCGGGAUUAAUUUUAAAAAUAACUAAGAUGCAAAGUUUUUCCAUCUAUGUCUUUAGGCUAAUAUUAUUUGACAAGUCCAUGUUUAUAACGUAAAUGGGUCAAAUAACGUGUGUGUUAACAUUCCAUUCUUUUUUUGAUAUAUGUUGCUAGCUUUCCAUUGUUCUGAUAUCAUAUUUCAUGAAAGAACAUUAGUGUUAAGUUUAAAAUUAUUUUAGUAAUUUAAUAAAAGCUGAAAAUGGAGUUUUAAAAUAAAUAAAAUCUUAAAAUGCAUGGUCCUAGCUCAAUUAAUGUUUGAAUUCUUAGAAAUCGAGGUGCGACAUCUAGUAAAUUCCAUAGCCCUAGCAAACUUGCAAAUGCAUUUUCAUUUUAGGCGCGCUAGUUAAAUAUUCACUUUCCAAAAUAUAGGUACGCAUUUAUGUGACCCAAAUUCAAAUCCCAACGAUGUUGAAAUAUGUCAGAAACUACGGGUUCAUUUAUGUGACGUGGUUCGAGACGUGUUUUAAUGACGUUGCAAUUUUCUUUAAAAUAAUAAUAAAAGCGGUUUAAAGUUAAAAAGAACAUAAGUGAAAACAUGUUCUAAAAUCAAAUAAUUUAAGCCAAAUAUAAUAGUUGAGCGAUCGUGCUAGAACCACGAAACUCGGGAAUGCCUAACACCUUCUCCUGGGUAAACGGAAUUCCUUACUCAGAUUUCUGAUUCGCAGACUGUUAAAUAAAGUCAUUCUUUCCUCGAUUCGGGAUUACAAUCGGUGACUUGGGACACCAUAAAUAUUCCAAGUGGCUACUCUAAAUUCUCUUAAAUAAUUGAAUCAUGUUUCAAUUGUCCUUUAAUUGGAAAAACUCCCUUAUCUACGCCCUUUGCCGGGUUGUAGUAGCCAAAAGGAGGUGUGACACCCGUAAUAUUCCGUGUGUCACAAUGCUCCCAAUAAUCACCACGUUGCAACCUGCUAUCAGCUAAGAAACUCUACUUUCAUUUGUUAUUUUAUGUCUUGCAUAAGGUUACCCUUCUGCCUUCCAAGGUUAAACUUUACCUCUAUCUACAUCUGCAUUUCAUAAGGCUACCAUUCUGCCCUCCAAUUUGCAAAAGGCUAUAGUUCUACCUUCCAACUUGCAUAAGGCUACCAUUUUACCUUCUGAGGUUAAGCUCUCUACCUCUAUCUACAUCUGCAUAAGGCUACCAUUCUGCCUUCUGGGGUUAAGCUCUACCUCUAUCUGCAUUUGUAUUGCAUAAGGCUACCAUUUUGCCUUCCUCUUCUGCAUCUGCAUAAGACUACCAUUGUGCCUUCCGAGGUUAUGCUCUAUCGUUAUCUGCAUCUGCAUUGCAUAAGGUUACCAUUCUGCUUUCCAAGACUAAGCGUUGUAUUUAUCCACAUUGCACAGUUGAAAGAUCACCACAUUGCACGGCUAAAAAAUUGCCACAUUGUGCAACUGAAAGAUCACCAUAUUGUACAGCUGAAAGAUCGCCGCAUUGCAUAGUUAAAAUAUUGCCUCAUACUACAUUUGCACAGCUGAUACAUCGCCACACUGCACGGAUGAAAUAUCGCCAUAUUACAUGGCUCAAAGUUUUCCAUAUUGCAUAGUUGAAAGAUCACCACAUUGCACGGCUGAAAGAUCGCUAUAUUGCACGGCUGAAAGAUCUCCACAUGGUAAUACAUCCUUCAUGGGAUGAAAUAUCGAUAACUUAUCCAAAGGCGUCAUCAUUCAGAGGCACCAUCCUCAUAGCCCGAGAACACCAUGUCAUGGCCUGAGGACCCCUUUCAAUCUUUUGCAUAUCAUUAUUCAAAGUCGUCAUGCUUCGGAGGCAUCAUUAUCAUAGCCCGAGAGCAUCAUUUCAUGGGCUGCGAAUCCUUACGCUUCAUGGCCCAGGACAUCAUGGUCUAUAGAUGUCUUCAUAACCGUUCAAAGAUAGCAUUCGUGGUCCAACGGGAUUUUACAUCAUGUCUAAAUUUACGCACAAUAUAUGUUUGUAUUACUUAUUUGCAGGUAAACCAGCAAGCUAUAGCCGUCCCGGUAUGAUCAUUUCUUCUCUAGUUCCUACAGUGUAAGUUGUUCACUCACCCAGCCCGAAAUAUUACGUCCGUCCUUGGAAAAUACCCGUUGGUAUACACCGUCGACGGAUCUUAAACUACACACGGCCUAAUUCCUAUAAAUCCAGGGAUAUGUAGGCAACUCAGAAGCCAAGGUGCGGCCUAGAUCUCUUCAAACUGCUUCGCUCGGUCAAAAUUUGCCAUCAUAUCUUUACCCGGAAACUAUUUCAUCCUUCCCGGGUAAAGAUGGGCAGCUGUUGAUACCCAAUUUUUCCAAUAUAUUUUUUAAUAUGAAAAAUACCUUCAAAAAAGCACAUGUAUGCAUAUAUAAGUAUGUCCAAAUUUAUAAUUAUUUUUCCUUAGAUUUUUAAAUCAAUUUAUUUUCCUAUUUUAUAAAAUCCAAUAAUGAUUUCCAAAUUUAUUUUUUUGGUAAUUCAUUUAUUGGACUUCACAUUUAUGCUGAAAUACGGCUAAUUUUUAUAUUGCAUAUUUUUAUAAAUUUAUGUAGUAUUUUUAAAGUUAAAUUGCAUAUAAUUGUAAUAUUAGCCUUUUUUGGAUUUAAUUAUGUUUAUAUUCGUGAAAAUUAAAUCCAAUAUUUUUAUAUGAUAACUAUAUAUUAUAAAUCAUUUAGUACUUUUAAUUUAUUUCCAGAAAUUAAUUUACUAUUUUUAUAAUUUUAUAUAGGAAAAUGGCUAUUUAAAAUCCACCUAGAUUGGCUAAAAAUUUCAGCCUAAUAUUGAGCCCAAAUCAGACACAAUUUUCCAACCCAAUUGUAACUCAAAACCCGACCCCUAACCCAUAAUGACUCAACCCAGACUCCCCACCUAACCCCCUUAAUCCUAGCCAUUGAUUAUUUAGAUCAACGGCACCUAUACGUCCUUUCCUUUUUGCCUUGAACAACCCCGAAACCUACAUCAUUUCUCACAUACCGCCGCCCUUGAAUCCCUCUUCUCUCAACUCUCUCUAAAACAUACGAACCCUAGCCGCCGCCAUCAAACUACAUCCUAAUACACCCUAAAACCUGCAUAAUCCAUGGCCUCCCAUGGCCAUUGGAGAAUUAGGGUGUUUGUUUCUAUGGUUUCAUGGCCAGUCCUCGAAGGAACCUGGUCCAGUCCUUACUCAAUGUUGUUCAUGGCUUUUCUCUGGUCAUCACUAACCUUUCUCCGGCCAGCCAUGGCCGUUCGAGUCAGAUCCUUGACUCUUCUGGUUAGAUCAGUAGCUUUCUAGGCCUUUCUCAUCUUUUCUAAGUUUUUCAAAACCCUAAUCUUUAAGAUCUUUUGAUUUUCUUUCAGAUCUACUUUAGAUCUGUACUUGCUAUGAAUGUCAAGUAUUUUUCUCGAAAGUUCUUCAACUUUUCCUUCAAAACGACUUUUCGUUAAGGUUUUCCAUUAAGUUUUACAAAGAUAUAUUCUAUGAUUUUUAAUGUUGUUUGUGAUUCUACUAUGUUUUGCUCAUGUUGUUCUUCUAUCUGAGUCAGUAUGUUGAAAACCCUAAUUUUUCUUUGGGUUUCAUUCGAGCUCUGUAGCUGUUUGUUAGAUGUGUAUUGGUUAUAUUAAGUACUUGUUAAACUUAUUUGUUUUACCAUAUUUUAAACUAAAUUAUUGUUGAAAACCCUAGGACUUUAAGUCUGAAACUGUUUGUUUGAAUGUAUACUUGACUUGAUUGAAAGUUCUUGUUUCAGAAUCUCUUUUAUGUAUGUGAUUAUCUGAUUUUUACUAUCAUUCAACUAGACUAUGGUUGAAACCCUAAUUUCUCAAAAGGGAUUCCUCACUUGUCAUUGUGAGACCUUUACUUGUUUUGACUCUCUUCUUCACUUUGGCUAUAUGUGUGAGCCCUGACUAUUUACUGAAUCCCAUGCUUUUUUCUCCUACUAUUGUACGAUAAUUUUUUUGCCAAUGUGCCUCGCAUGUCUGGUGUUUUUGUUCACUCUAUAUAUACUGAAGUGCAGAAGCAUGUUUUCUCCUUGAUUGAUCUUAAUCUUCUGACUGAUUUCAAGAACUUUUCUUACGAGCCCUAGUUUCACUCGCCUAUUUAAAAUUAAUUGAUUCGUUUCCCUUUACAAUGAUUUUUUACCUUGCUGAUUUCUUUCCCAAAAUAAACAUAUUUUGUACGCAGAUUUGAUUAUUCACUGCAUUCUUUUACUACGCCUUAUAUGGACAAAUUCAGUCUGCUUCCAAACUGAUUUUCUUUCCUUAAUUAGACCUGCUGCUACCCAUUAAACAAUGAUUCCUUAAUUAAAAGGGGAUCAACUGGGUAAUUGAUUCUAACUUGUGAUUGUUUCCAUGUUUGUAUCAAGACUUUACUUAUUACCUAUCUUUCACUCGUUUUCAAAAAACUAUAAAUACCCUGCACGCAUCUUCCUUCAAAAAGCACGAACGAACCAUUUGAUUUUAGAACACACACUUCACUCAAAACUCUAUCUCUCUCUCUCUCUCUCUCUCUCUCUCUCUCUCUCUCUCUCUCUCUCUUUCUCUCUCUUCUCUGUUACUACUUGUGUUUUUGCAUUGUCUAGCCAGCUGAAAGUCAAGGUUAGGCUGUGAAAAUUUGCUUACUUUUCUUUCUGCACUUUACUUCUUAUUGGUACGUCCUAGUUAAUCUUCAAGCAUCAACAACAAUAUGUUUUUUAGUUGUUUCCUUCACUCUUGCCUGUUUCUGCUUAUGUUUAUGCAAACAAGUUAUAUUACUAAGCAUACUAUAAUCUGCUCCCUCCCAUUCUAAAUUAAUAUUUCUCCUUAUGCAUGUACUUUGUAAGUCACUUGUUAUAUGAUUUGUUGAACUAUGAAUCCCAAACCCUUAUAUCCUCCUAUGUGAUGGUGUUCUCUAGUUGGUUUGUGGGCAUGCCAUCAUCAUCUAUUGUUGUGCAUGUCCUAAACUUGACCCCUUUUGUGCAAUUACUGGUUCUAUGUAAAUUAUGUUUUACCACAAUUGGUUUCGAAUCACCCUUGCCCCUUACUAUUCUCAACCCAUUUUAAAAUAAAAUCUCUAUUUAUAUCAUUCCCACUAUACUCUUAGAACUUAGGUUCUACCCCUCAUGUAUGAGCCUUGCCUUGGGGUCCUUGAGCUCCCUCUAAUAUUGGACACAUAAGGGUUGGUCCUUCCACGCUGCACUAAUUCUCUAUCAGGUUAUGCAAGCAUGGGUGUAAGCAAUGCCCGGAUCCCCUGAGACCCUUAGAGAACUUUGACACACCCAGGUCUGACAAUGGCUUUGAAACGAGUGGCAUUUGAGGUGUUUUGUUCCAUAACUCAAAGAGCAAGUCAUAAUCAUGUUUCUUUUGGUUGUAAUUUAUUAUUUUGUACCUCUCUUGUAAUUCAACAUUUGAUCUGUAAUAAUUUUUAAACGAAGAUUGGGUUUGGCUAGUGAAAAGGGAUGGGUAAUUAUAUAUAUGUUUAGCUGUUACGAGGGUAGAUAACAUUCUUAUAGGGUUUGUUGUUUCAAACUCUACAUGUUUUAAUUCCACACUUAGAUAUCAUGCCUAUAUGACCUAUUUAAUAAAGUUCUGCAUGUUUUAAUUCUAUACUUAGAUAUCCUGCCUAUAGAAUCUAUCUAAUAAAUUUCUACAUUGUUUCAUUUCUACACUUAGAUAUCCUGCCUAUAGGAUAUAAUGGCUAUAACCAGACAUUAUUUUUACAAGGUUAAAAAUUAGAUCAAAAUUAGAUGUCAUGCCCAUAAGGUUAAUAGCAUUGUUUUAUAGAAGUCAUGCCUAUAGGAAUCUUUCUAUGAUCAAAUAAAUCCUGCGUACUCCACUUCAUUAGAUACCAUAUCUAUAAGACUAAAUCAACCUUUAAUAUUAGAUACCAUGUCUGUAGGAUUAAAAUCAACAAUAAUAGAGAUUAUGUCCAUAAAAUCUGAAACCAGUUUAGUUAAAAAUCUGGUUGACUCGUACUAUUUUAAUAACUUACUCCUUUCGUUAAUGAGGUUUAGAAAGCAAACCCAUAGGAUCCAGUUUGCCUGUUUAAAACUAUCAUUGCUUUGCCAUUUUUGAAUCACUAAUAGAUAUCUCCCAUGUCUUAAAUUCUGACCCUAAAACCCUAAAACCCUAAAACCACAAAACUCGGGAAUUCCUAACAUCUUCUCCCAGGUUAACAGAAUUCCUUACUUAUUUUUUGUGCUUCGUGUACUGUAAAACAAGGUCAAAUUUCCUCGACUCGGAAUCUUAAACCACUUACUAUGGACACCUUAAAUUAUCCCAAGAUAAAUAAUCUCGUUUCGAUUAUCGUCACUUUACUUGGAAAACUCUUUUAUAACCCCCUUUCGGGUAAAAAAUGAGGUUUGACAGCUCUGGCGAUCUGAUAGGUAUGAGAACCCAGAAUAUUUGGUUCAGGGUUCAGAAUUCAAGCUUGUUAAUAUGAUCUAUGUAUGGUUUUAUUGUUUGUUGAUGUUACUGCAUUUGUGGACCUAAUGUGUUAAUUGUUGCGUAUUUACUGCUUUGAUAUCAUUCGAACUGUAAUAAACUGUCUUCUUACGCUCCUUUAGGAGUCUUCUUAAAAUAUGGUGAACAUGUACGCAUGGCCCACUUUUUUUUUAGAAGUCAUACCAAAUAGAAUGAGGCUAGGUCAGUAACUAGGCCGAGUAGACUUUCAUGCUCCCGGUACGUUGUCCCCGCCUCGGCUCAAGUUAUCUGCUCUGGUAAGCCAGGUCUAAAAUACAAUCUCAGGUUUAAAUCUAGCAUAACAUAACCUCAUGUUGGAUCCCUAGUAGGAACGUUUAUUUGCAUCAUGUGCACUUGACUUUGGGGACUCACCAUAGAGGUUGGGUCCGUCUAGGACAGGUGCAUCCAAAAAUAAAAGAUCAUCCUGAUGCAUCUUAUGUUCUACGUGUUCCAUUGUUCAAGGGUAAAACGGAUCACUUAACGGACCAAUAAUGGUUGAGAUAAAUGAGAGAGAAAAGAGGGUGAAGUGUGAAAAUAAAGCAAGUAGGGCCCGGUUAUAAUUUUCUUUCACAUUUCUUUUCCAAGAAUAAGAAAAAAAUGAAAAUAAAAAAUUCAAAAAUAUUUUGCACUUUCCCGUAAUUUUUUUUAAAAGGGAUAAAAAAUAUAUUUUCUGUAAAUUAGUUAUUUUUUUAAUUAUUGCUCGUGUCCAAUCUUCCCGAACUACGCAUACCUGAUUCUCAUCUUUCGGGGCAUUAUACGUAGGUAUCCCACAUAGGGUUUGGUCUUUCUAUCGAGUCUUAGGUUCUAGGCCUCGUGGGGUUUUAGCUAAAUCUUACAUGUCUAACCACUUUUGGCCACAUCGGCCAUUCUUGCAAAAAUGGGGUCAUUUGUGCAAAAGUGUUCAAUGACCUAUGUUUUAGAAUCUUGAGUCCACAACUAGGUGUCAUAUUACUUUAAAGUCCGACCUUUUUAAAGCUUGCAUCUUUAGUCACUUCUGGUCACAUCGGUCAUACUUGCAAAAUGGGCAAUUUUUGCAAAUUAAUUUCUGGCCAUGAUUAUUGGGAGUUUGAAUCCACAUAAGCUUUAGUGAGAUAUUUCCAUCUCUAUGAGGUCACCUUUGAUGAGUUUGCGCUAAUAAGCCACAAAGGUUAGUUUGAAGAAAAAUAGACACAAUCAUGUCUUGCAUGUGUCCAAUAGGAAGUUUUAUUGUCUCACAUAGUGUUCUAAGUCUUUAACUCUAUUUGGUCUUUUCUCAUACAGGUGUAGAUCUACUUACCAGUGCUUGACCCUCUUUGUCAUGACCGUUGCAUCCAGGAGUUGCUUAAGGAGAUUUUUUAUUUUUAAUUUUUUGAGUCUGUUUUUUGUUGUCUUGUACUUUAUAGUCAUGUUCAGU